Molecule: ribosomal RNA, 254 nt
Filed under: uncultured bacterium
Lineage: Bacteria
Description: partial 16S ribosomal RNA
Rfam family: Bacterial small subunit ribosomal RNA
Source: RNAcentral
UACGUAGGGUGCAGGCGUUAAUCGGAAUUACUGGGCGUAAAGGGCGCGUAGGCGGUCAGCACAAGUCAGUUGUGAAAUCUCCGGGCUUAACUCGGAAAGGUCAACUGAUACUGUGCGACUAGAGUGCGGAAGGGGCAACUGGAAUUCUCGGUGUAGCGGUGAAAUGCGUAGAUAUCGAGAGGAACACCUGCGGCGAAGGCGGGUUGCUGGGCCGACACUGACGCUGAUGCGCGAAAGCCAGGGGAGCGAACGGG